Molecule: ribosomal RNA, 677 nt
Filed under: Firmicutes bacterium CAG:24053_14
Lineage: Bacteria; Bacillati; Bacillota
Description: bacterial LSU rRNA
Rfam family: Bacterial large subunit ribosomal RNA
Source: RNAcentral
CCUAACCUGCGGCCCUGAAUCGGGUCGGGGGACACUGUUAGACGGGCAGUUUGACUGGGGCGGUCGCCUCCAAAAGAGUAACGGAGGCGCUCAAAGGUUGGCUCAGCACGGACGGAAAUCGUGCACAGAGUGCAAACGCAUAAGCCAACUUGACUGCGAGACCGACGGGUCGAGCAGGUACGAAAGUAGGAGUUAGUGAUCCGGUGGUAUGUGAGUGGAAAUGCCAUCGCUCAACGGAUAAAAGCUACCCUGGGGAUAACAGGCUGAUCUCCCCCAAGCGUCCACAGNNNNNNNCUGGGGCUGAAUUCGGUCCCAAGGGUUCGGCUGUUCGCCGAUUAAAGUGGCACGCGAGCUGGGUUCAGAACGUCGUGAGACAGUUCGGUCCCUAUCUGUUGCGGGCGCAGGAGAUUUGAAGGGAGCUGUCCUUAGUACGAGAGGACCGGGAUGGACUGACCUCUGGUGCACCAGUUGUCGUGCCAACGGCACAGCUGGGUAGCUAUGUCGGGACGAGAUAAACGCUGAAGGCAUCUAAGCGUGAAACUCCCCCUAAGAUAAGAUCUCCCAUCCUUUAUGGAGUAAGGGUCCAUGUAGACUACAUGGUUGAUAGGCCGGCGGUGUAAGCGCAGUAAUGUGUUCAGCCUACCGGUACUAAUAGCCCGAGGGCUUGACCUACAGUU